AUGAUUCAGGCCUUUGGACCGCACGCCAAUUCACGUUCAUGCCAAUCUCGUCUCGUUGUUCAUCGAGCGAAACUGUUCCGCCGGGAAUUGAAGGCAAACAAUUACUCUUCAGUUUCCCUUCAGGCAUUCAUGUUGGAUGAUGUCUUUCUCUCGCCUACGUUGAUUAAUGGAUGUCUGCCUCUUUGUUUUCCCAUCCUUCAGCUGUCGUGUAUAUAUGCUUCUUCCCUAACCUUUUUCAAUCCAGCGACAAAACAUCCAUCAACAUGGUGCUCUGCUAGGUGUUGUUCAUACUGGCUUAUGCUCAAUUGA
This 309-nucleotide ribosomal RNA is filed under the name Triticum aestivum (bread wheat). Its description in RNAcentral is "partial small subunit ribosomal RNA". The record is from RNAcentral. Lineage: Eukaryota; Viridiplantae; Streptophyta; Magnoliopsida; Poales; Poaceae.